RNAcentral lists this ribosomal RNA (497 nucleotides) under uncultured bacterium. RNAcentral describes it as "partial 16S ribosomal RNA". It matches the Rfam family "Bacterial small subunit ribosomal RNA", at positions 28 to 507 of the family's 1533-position model. The record is from RNAcentral.
GAUGAACGCUGGCGACGUGCCUAAUACAUGCAAGUCGAGCGAACAGACGUGCAUCUUUCUCCUCUUACGUUAGCGGCGGACGGGUGGGUAACACAUGGGUAACCUACCUAUAAAACUGGCAUAACUUCGGGAAACCGAACCUAAUACCGGAUAAUAUAUUUAACCUCAUUGUUCAAUAGUUAAAGUAGGGUUUUCUGUCACUGAUAGAUGGCGCCGCGCCGCAUUAGCUAGUUGGUAAGGUAACGGCUUACCAAUGCGACGAUGCGUAGCCGACCUGAGAGGGUGGAAGGCCACCCUGGUAGUGAGAGACGGUCCAGCCAACCACGGGAGGCAGCAGUAGGGAAUCUAUCGCGAUGGGCGAGAGCCUGACGGAGCAAGGCCGCGUGAGUGAUGAAGGUCGUCGGAUCGUAAAACUCUGUGAUUAGGGAAGAAAAAAUGUGUAAGUACCUAUGCACGUAUUGACGGUACCUAAUCAGAAAGGCACGGCUAACUACGUG